AUCAUAUUGCAGACUUAGUUAUAGAGUACAAUGCAUAUGAGAUCUUAUUCCAAACUUAUGUUGUAGAGUACUGUGCAUAUGAGAUCUUAUUCCAAACUUAUGUUAUAGUGUUAUAUAUGUAUGAGAUCUUAUUCCAAACUUAGGUUAUAAAGAUAGAGUUCUAUGCAUAUGAGAUCUAAUUCCUAACUUACGUUAUAGAGUGCUAUGCAUGUACAUGUAUGAGAUCUUAUUCCAAACUUAAGUUAUAUAGUGUAAUGUAUGUAUGAGAUUUUUUUCCAAACCUAGGUUAUAGAGUGCUAUUCAACUGAGAAAUUUGUCACAGGUUGAGAAAAAUGUGCAGCCAGACCGGGACUUGAACCCAGGGCCUCGGAAUACUGUUCCGAUGCUCUACCGACCGAGCUACCCGGCCGCCUACACACUUUCUCCCCGUUUUAAUAUAUUUCAAGUUCUAUACCGUGACAUAUUUCCCCACCAUUUUGAAAUUCAUCCUCGAAUUUCAGCGGGUACUUUAUAUAUAAGCAAUUACAGGUGUCGGAGACUAACCAGUGUAAUGCCGUCAUGGCCCCACGUUGGGCGCCAAAUGUCACAGGGUGAGAAAAAUGUGCAGCCAAACUGGGACUCGAACCCGGGGCCUCAGAAUACCGUUCCGAUGCUCUACCGACUGAGCUACCAGGCCACCUACACACUUUCUCCCUGUUUUGAUAUAUUUCAAGUUCUAUACCGUGACAUAUUCAACAAAUAAAGUAUUUUAGGAAAUUCUAAAAGACAGUGUAUAAUAUCUUAUGGGUUCACAGAAAGAGUAUAUAUCUUAAUUUAUUGUUUCAUAGGAAGGAAAAAAAGCAAGUCAGUUAUAAAUGACUUUGGACUGUGAUACAUUUUCCUAGUGUUACAAUCAUAUACAAAGCACAUUUAUAUAAUUGCUAUUAUUAUUUUACAAAUAUUUCAUUUUUUUUACUGGCGUAAGGUUUUUUUUUGUAUUUUGAUUUGUUUAUGUCGAGAAUUACAUGUAAGUUGUAGUUGUUAGUUGUAUGUGUUACAUAGCUGUAUUGUUUCCUUUUUAUUAAUAAUUCAUAUAAAAUACAGGUUUUGUCAGCAAGUAUGCAAUAAUUGAAUAGCGAACAGUGCAGACCAUGAUCAGCCUGCACGAUCUUGGUCUUCACUGUCUGCAAAAGCAGAAUCAACUGCCAACAUCAGGUUAAAGGUUAAAUAAGCCAAUAGGCUUUUAUUAGACAUUUAAGUCUGAACCUUAAGAUUUAACAAUAGCCUGUACUGAAAUUGCCAUAACUUUUUAUACACAAUUUAUACUGGUGCAAUUUAGCUGAUGUGUCUUUGGCUACAUCAUAUAUACAAAGUUUCAUUGUAAUCUGUGCUUAUAAAUCUUUACCCUACUAAAUUUCUAAAAUGGACUGGUCCAUCAUUCUACUUUGGCGGUAUCACUUCUUUUUCAAAUGGGUAUUCACUGAAAAUUAGUGACUGAAUAGUGAAUAUGUGUAGGCUGAUCUUGGUCUGCACUGGUCACAGAAGCAGAAUCACUUGCUGACAGCAGACUAAAGGUUAAAGAAUUACAGAGCAAACAGAAAAUUUAACAUUUUAAAGUCUAAAUUUCAGACUCCAAAUGAGACGCACCAUGAGAAAACCAGCAUAGUGCAUUUGCGACCAGCAUGGAUCCAGAUCCGUGCAGUCUGGUCAGGAUCCAUGCUGUCUGCUUUCAAAGCCUUUUGCAGUUAGAGAAACUGUUAGAGAACAGCAUGGAUCCUGACCAGACCAUGCUGGUCGCAAAUGCACUAUGUUGGUUUUCUCAUGUUGUGGCUCAUAUGAUGAUGAAUGUAGGCCCUGGGGUCCAAAGGAUAUUGGUUUGGAAGAGAGUCAGAUGUAGGUUUUCUUAUAUUGGGCCAACUUUACCUUAACAUAAGAAUAUUGGAUAAAUACUUGUCAAACAAAAAGAAAAAAUAUUAUACCAAUUAAGGUUAAAAGAAAUGGUAGUGUUUGUUAAAGUUAUAAGUUGUAAUAUAAACUUAUUUUUUGCUUCAGAAGUGUCACAUUGCUUACUGUUUAGUACUCUGGUAAUCUUAUUUUUUAUAGGUAUGAAUUAAUUCUGCUUUCAUGUGAUAUAUAUACAAUUUUGAACUAUAAUAUGAGCCGUGCCAUGGGAAAACCAACAUAGUGGGUAUGCGACCAGCAUGGAUCCAGACCAGCCUGCGCAUCCGCGCAGUCUGGUCAGGAUCCAUGCUGUUCGCUAACAGUUUCUCUAAUUCCAGUAGGCUUUGAAAGCGAACAGCAUGGAUCCUGACCAGACUGCGCGGAUGCGCAGGCUGGUCUGGAUCCUUGCUGGUCGCAUACCCACUAUGUUGGUUUUCUCAUGGCACGGCUCAUAUGUACAUCUGUAUGAGUGUCAGUAUAAAGUGCGUGUGUAAAGGAAUCAGUUAACAUCUUCUACAAUAUGUGUAUAUGCGGCAGCAUUACUCAAUAAAAUUGUCUACAAAAAG
Long non-coding RNA from Mercenaria mercenaria, 2486 nucleotides. RefSeq lists it as uncharacterized. The record is from RefSeq and is a predicted model, not a curated record. Lineage: Eukaryota; Metazoa; Mollusca; Bivalvia; Venerida; Veneridae. The transcript has 2 exons.